RNAcentral lists this ribosomal RNA (214 nucleotides) under uncultured fungus. RNAcentral's name for it is "partial small subunit ribosomal RNA". The stretch from base 86 to 214 matches the Rfam family "Eukaryotic small subunit ribosomal RNA", at positions 734 to 865 of the family's 1831-position model. The record is from RNAcentral. Lineage: Eukaryota; Fungi.
GGCUGCAAGCUGGUGGCAGGCCUCUCGGUCUCGCCCCGGCGGGCAGUCCUCCUCGCGGGAAACGGGGGUUGCCUUAGCUGGCCGCUCUCGGGAACCGUGACGUUUACUUUGAAAAAAUUAGGGUGUUCAAAGCAGGCGUUCGCUUGAAUACAUUAGCAUGGAAUAAUGAAAUAGGGCUUCAGUCCUAUUUUGUUGGUUUUCGGGAUCCGAAGCA